Molecule: ribosomal RNA, 497 nt
Filed under: uncultured bacterium
Lineage: Bacteria
Description: partial 16S ribosomal RNA
Rfam family: Bacterial small subunit ribosomal RNA
Source: RNAcentral
GACGAACGCUGGCGGCGUGCCUAAUACAUGCAAGUAGAACGCUGAAGAGAGGAGCUUGCUCUUCUUGGAUGAGUUGCGAACGGGUGAGUAACGCGUAGGUAACCUGCCUUGUAGCGGGGGAUAACUAUUGGAAACGAUAGCUAAUACCGCAUAACAAUGGAUGACACAUGUCAUUUAUUUGAAAGGGGCAAUUGCUCCACUACAAGAUGGACCUGCGUUGUAUUAGCUAGUAGGUGAGGUAAUGGCUCACCUAGGCGACGAUACAUAGCCGACCUGAGAGGGUGGUCGGCCACACUGGGACUGAGACCCGGCCCAGACCGCUACGGGAGGCAGCAGUAGGGAAUCUUCGGCAAUGGGGGCAACCCUGACCGAGCAACGCCGCGGGAGUGUAGAAGGUUUUCGGAUCGUAAAGCUCUGUUGUAAGUCAAGAACGGGUGUGAGAGUGGAAAGUUCACACUGUGACGGUAGCUUACCAGAAAGGGACGGCUAACUACGUG